AUGGAUAGAUCUUGGAUUCGUGGCACACUGUUCUCUCGAGAGUACAUCAAUGGUGUCAAAGAGUUUAUGAACUUAAUUCAAGCAAAAUUCAGCGAGGAUGAAGAAAUACUAUGCCCAUGUAGAGAAUGCCUUAAUCGCAAAUACUGGCAUCAAGCUGUUGUGAACAAGCACAUAUUGACGCAUGGCAUGGAAAGUACAUAUACUCGCUGGAUAUAUCAUGGAGAAGACUUCAAUGCAGAUGUUAUUGAGCAUCCUGUUGAUGUGCAUGACUCCGAGGAUGGUAACAACGGUGCUGACCGAUUUGAAGAGAUGUUUGGCGACCUAUGCACAGCAAUAGAACAAGAUCAGAAGGAAACUAAAAAUGAAGACGGUAACAAUGAUGCAAAUCCUUCUAAGACUGAGUCCUUUCUGAAGAACGUGAGGAAAGAGUCAAAGCGGCACCUUUAUCAUGGUUGUACCAAGUUUUCAAGGUUCUCAUUUGUGGUGAAUCUUCUUCAUUUGAAGUCAUGCCAUAGGAUCACAAAUAGUGCAUUUACUGACAUUUUGAAGCUACUGGCUGAAGCAUUCCCUCAACUCAAUACACUCCCAAAAUCUUAUGACGAAGCAAAGAAUCUUCUAAAGGAAUUAGGCCUUGGGUAUGAGUCUAUACAUGUGUGCAUCAAUAAUUGUGUUUUGUUCAGAAAGCAAUAUGCCAAGCAUGACAACUGCCCAGUUUGUGGCAUGUCAAGGUGGAAAGAACCUGCUAGAAAGAAGAUACCACAAAAAGUUCUGAGGCAUUUUCCAUUGGUGCCUAGGCUGAAGAGGAUGUUUCUUUCCAAAAAAGCAUCAGAGGAAGCACAGUGGCACAAGCUAAAGAGGCAACCCAGUGAGAAGGGAAUGAGCCAUCCAGCUAACGGUGAUGCGUGGCAAGAUUUUGAUGAAAAAUAUCCAAAAUUUGCAGAAGAUGCCAGAAACAUGAGGCUUGGCAUUGCCACUGAUGGGUUCAAUCCUUUCGGAAACUUUAACACAACCUAUAGUAUGUGGCCUGUAUUUGUGGUGCCAUACAACCUUCCACCUUGGGCAUGCAUGGAUCGGUCAAAUUUCAUGAUGGCUCUGUUAAUUCCAGGUCCUAAAUCACCUGGCAAGCACUUUGAUGUCUUCCUACAACCACUUGUAGAAGAUUUACUUGAGCUUUGGAAGGGUGUGCGUACAUAUGAUGCUCGUGAAGGAAAAAUGUUUGAUCUUCAUGCUGCAGUUCUAUGGUGCAUUCAUGAUUACCCAGCUCUGAGCACUCUUUCAGGGCGUACCACAAGAGGCUAUGUUGCAUGUAUUCAUUGUAAUAAACACCCUCUUUCCUACGGCCUAAGGCACAAAAUUGGGUAUAUUGGGCAUUAUCGUUUCCUUCCAAAGGGACAUCGUUUGCGAAGAAACAAUGAAUUUGUUGGUCUUCAUGAACGCAAUGAUGAGCUAGGUAAAUUCUCAAAGGAAGAGCUACAAGCAGAAUUGGAGAAGGUUAGACCUGGGCGACAAGAAGAAAGCACGAAAAGAAAGCGUUCUGACUUGGGCAGCAAGAAGGCUCAUGUGCCAAUUUGGAGUCAGGGGGUUUGUUUGUGGGAUUUGGAUUAUUGGGAUAAAUUAAAGCUGAGACAUAAUCUUGAUGUCUUGCAUAUCGAGAAAAACAUUUGUGAAAACCUCAUUGGGACAAUUCUCAACAUGGAGGGGAAGACGAAGGACACACUUAAUGCUAGGCUUGAUCUCCAAGAUUUGAAAAUUAAAGAGGAGUUGCAUUUGAGGAAGGAUGGAAACUCAUAUGAGAUGCCUCGGGCCCGGUAUACCUUGUCUAAAGAACAAGUGGUUGCAUUUUGUCAAUUUUUACGGGAGUUAAAGUUUCCAGAUGGGUUUGCUUCCAACAUAUCCAUAUGUACAAGUGCUGAUGGAACCAAGGUCCAAGGCCUAAAAACACAUGAUUGUCACAUUCUUUUUCAAAGAAUCUUACCUGCUGGCAUGAGAGGAUUUCUGGAUAGUGAUAUAUAUGAAGCAAUAGCUGAGUUGGGCAAGUUUUUCAGGGAAUUGUGCAGCAAAACUCUUAACAGGGAUGUGUUGGCUGAAAUGAAGAAAGAAAUCCCUGUAAUUUUGUGCAAGCUUGAGAAAAUUUUCCCUCCUGCUUUCUUUGAUGUGAUGGUGCAUCUUACCGUACAUUUACCCGAAGAGGCAUUACUCCGAGGUCCCAUACAAUAUGGGUGGAUGUACCCAGUUGAAAGGAGGUUGUAUACUUUAAAGAGGUAUGUGAGGAAUAGGGCAAGACCAGAAGGUUCAAUUGCUGAGGCAUAUAUUGCCGAUGAAUGCCUGAUAUUUUGCUCCAAGUACAUGGAUGAUUUCGAAACCAUAUCUUAUCAGAAACCAAGAAAUGUAGGUUAUUUAGAUGAAGAAGCCUAUGGUGUUGACGUUUUUGGACAUGGAGUAAAUUUUACUUCAGGAUAUGAAUAUCAAUAUGUAUAUGACAGAAAAGAAUUUGAUCAAAUGAUGUGGUAUGUGUUGAACAAUUGUGGUCAAGCUCAGAAAUAUAUCGAAAUGUUCAGAGAUGAGUUAAAAAGAAAACGGGUUCCAAACAUUGAUAAAGAUCUUCAGAAAGAAUUCCAGACAUGGUUCAAGAACUAUAUCAUGAGGUUGCGGGAUGAACACAGCGAAGAAAUAGAUGAAGAUCUCUUUUCCUUGGCAUGUGAACCUGAUUGA
RNAcentral lists this ribosomal RNA (2712 nucleotides) under Triticum aestivum (bread wheat). RNAcentral's name for it is "partial small subunit ribosomal RNA". The record is from RNAcentral. Lineage: Eukaryota; Viridiplantae; Streptophyta; Magnoliopsida; Poales; Poaceae.